AGGGUUGAUUUAUAUGUUUACUUAACAGUCUUGGUUGAUUGUUACAGUAACAGCCUCCCUACCCCCCUUGAAUCUCUAUCCCUGUAUCCUUACCUAUGCAUAAUCCCUCCCACAUUGAUUCAGUGACUUGCUUUGGCCAAGAUUUGUUAUAAUUUGGCCAAUGAGACAUUAGCAAGUGUGACGCAGCGGCUUGAAAAACUCCUGUGCACUGGGGCUUGCUCUAUUUUGCUGCUUGCUGGGAAUCCUUCUGCUAACACAAGAAGUCUGGAAUAACCCCAUGGAGACAGGUGACUCAGCUGACAGCCAGCACCAACUGCUAGACACGUGAGGGAGGGCAUCCUGGAUUGUCCGGACCCAGAAGAGCUGCCAGAUGGCUGUCACUGCCAGAGUGACUCUAGGAUUUUCUCAUUGUCUUUGGUGUCAAGAAGUUUCACUACAACGUGGCUAGGAGCUGUUAGGCACCUACUAUAUAUUAGGUGUUGAGCUUACAACCAUGAACAACAGCCAGUCAAGACAGACAAGAAUUUAUAUAUUACCCAACCAGAGAGAGAGGGUAACCCAAACAUUACUGCCCAGGAUUAUAACUGGAGCCAGACUCUGUCCCACUGAAGGGGCAGGACCUGCUGCAGCUCUCAGGAGCUCCAAAGGAGCUCCCAUUCAUCUCACAGGAUUUGUGGUCACUUUGUGGUAGGUAACAGAGCCUCCUUCCCACCUCCCUUCGCU
Long non-coding RNA from Chlorocebus sabaeus (green monkey), 723 nucleotides. RefSeq lists it as uncharacterized. Lineage: Eukaryota; Metazoa; Chordata; Mammalia; Primates; Cercopithecidae. The record is from RefSeq and is a predicted model, not a curated record.